GUGGUAACUGCCAAGUACUUCCCAUACUAGAUCUGGAACUGGAUCUCACCUUUCAUUUUAGGUGUUGUGUAUCCCUCUUCUAGACUGUGAAUCCUUAUCAUUACACACUGACUGCGAACUCUUCUGUUCAGAUCUCUGGAUUCAGGCUCAGUUAUGGGUCGACAGUGAACAAGGAUGUGACUGUUAAUAGUGAAAGUCCAAGACUCCAGGAGAAGACCAUGAGUGCUGGGGAAGAGGGACUGAGGGAAUAACACAUCCAUGGGGACUGAAACUUUUAAAGCAGAAAUUGCAGGAGCUUCAGUUACACCAGGAUGAUUGGGAAGAGCCAAAGAGGUGGUGCCAUCAUGGUGACAAAGAUUUUACCUCCUAAAUUUUGCUUCUUGAGCUAGAAGUGAUAAGUUUCAAUAAAUAACAGAGAUCGUGAGUUAUAAGCCA
This 435-nucleotide long non-coding RNA is filed under the name Vulpes vulpes (red fox). Its description in RNAcentral is "lncRNA (ENSVVUG00000019419.1)". The record is from RNAcentral. Lineage: Eukaryota; Metazoa; Chordata; Mammalia; Carnivora; Canidae.